This is a non-coding RNA of Phasianus colchicus (ring-necked pheasant), 8911 nucleotides long. Lineage: Eukaryota; Metazoa; Chordata; Aves; Galliformes; Phasianidae. The record is from RefSeq and is a predicted model, not a curated record.
CCCAACUCCCUCAAUCUUUUCUCAUAGGAGAGGUGCUUCAGCCCUUUGAUCAUCUUUGGCCAUCCUCUGGAUCUGCUCACAUCCUUCUGUGCUGGGGGCCCCAGGCCUAGACAUAGUAGUCCAGAUGGGGCCUUAAAAGGGCAGAGCAGAGCAGGACAUCCCUCUCCCUGCUGCCUCCCCCUUUUUUGAUGCAGACCAGGAUACACUGCUGGUUCACGUGUGUUUUUUUGUCCAUCAGGACUCCUAAGUCCUUCUCCACAGAACUGUUCUCAAAGAGUCUACUCCUAGUCUGAACUUGUAUCUGGGAUUGCCUCAAUCCAAGUGCACUUGGCCUUGUUAAACCUCAUUAGAUUCCCAUGUGCCCACUUUUCGAGCAUGUCCAGUUCCCUCUGGAUGGCAUCCCUCCCUUCUGUUGCAUCAAUUGCAACACUUAGCUUGGUAUCGUCAGCAAACUUGCUGAGGGUACAUUCAAUCCCACUGUCUAUGUCAUUGAUAAAGAUGCUGAAGACAAGCCCCAAGAUGGACCCCUGGGGGACACAAUUUGUGACCAGUUUUCCCUUGGACAUAGAGCCGUAGACAAUGACCCUCUGGCUACAACCAUCCAAUCAGUUCUUUGUCCACCUAAUUGCCCAGCCUUCAAAUCAGUCUCUCUCCAAUUUAGAGAUAAGGAUGUGGUGCGGGACCAUGUCAAAGACCUUGCACAAAUCAAGGUAGAUGAAAUCAGUUGCCCUUCCUUUGUCCACUGAUGGUGUCACUCCGUCAUAGAAAAGCACCAGACUGGUGAGGCACAAUUUGCCCUUGGUGAAGCCACGCUGUCUGUCUCAGAUCAAACCAUGUGAUCUCACAUGUGCCUUAACAUCUUUUCUAGGAGGAUCCAUUCCAUGAUCUUCCCAGGCAAGGUGGUGAGGCUCACCAGUCUGUAGUUCCCCAGGUUCUCUUUCUUCUCUUUUUUGAAUGUGGGAGUGAUGUUUCCCUUUCUCCAGUCACCAGGGACUUCUCCUGGCAACCACAUCAACCAGUUAUUUCAGAACCCUGGGAUGUGUUAUCUGGCCCCAUAGACUUGCACAUAUUCCACCUCAUGAGGAGGUCUCAGACUUGAUCUGCUCUUAUACUGGGAGGGAUUUUGCUUCCCUGACCCCUACUUAGAAGUUCAGGGACACAAGAGGCAUGAGAAGCCUGACAGAUCAUGAAGACUGAGGUGAAUAGCUUGUUAAGUACUUCAGCCUUCUCCAUGUCCAUGGAGGCCAGCUCUUCCUUUUCAAUGAUCAGGGGGAAUACACUCUCCUUUGCCUUUCUCGUCUAUCUCUCUAAAGAAUCCCUUCUUGUUAUUUUUCAUAUCCUCUUACCAAGUUCAUUUCCAUCUGCACCUUGGAUUUCCUUACUCCAUUUCUGAACAUCUGGACAGCAUCUCUAGAUUCUUCUCAGGCCACCCAUCCCCACUUCCACUGUUUUUUCUUUUCCUUUUUUUUUCCCUUUUUUUUUAAUUUUUAUUUUUUCCCUCAUUCUGACCAGCAAGUCCUUGCUCAGCCAUGCUGGUUUCCUGCCUCGUCUGUCUCAUUUCUUAUUCUGGGGGAUGGAGAGCUCUUGUGCUCUCAGAAAAGCAUCCUUAAAGUGCUGCCAGUUUGGUCCUAUUACUUUGUCUCUAAGGACAGUUUCCAAGGGGAUCUCAUCUAACACUUCCUUUAACAGCCUGAAGGUGACUCUUCUGAAGUUCAGGGUCCUGACUCCACUCUUUACCAGGCUUACAUUCCCCAAGGUCAUGAACUCAACCAGGGCAUGAUUGCUAUAGUCCAGGCUGCCUCCAGUCUUAACCUCUUUUACAAUCUCUUCCAUGUUGGUAAGCACCAGAUCCAGCAAUGCUCCACCUCUUGUUGGUUUGUCCAUUACCUAAAUCAGAAAGUUAUCGUCAGUGGACUCCAGGAGUCUCCUGGGUCACUUGCAGCUCACAAUGUUGUUUUCCCAGCUGAUAUCCGAAUGGUUGAAAUCUCCCAUCCAGCACAAUGCCUCUUGCAGCUGAAGCAAGAAGGCCUUGUCAACAGCUUCCCUUGAUGAGGCAGCUUGGAGUAGACCCUGACCACCAGAUGCCCUUUACUGGUCCUGUCCCUAAUCUUAACCCACAGGCUCUUAACCUGUUCCUGACUGUUUCUCAGGGGCAGCUCUUUGCAGACUACCCACUUCUUAACAAGAAGAGGGCAAUUCCCCCACUUCUUCUACUUUGCCUAUCCCUUCUAAAAAGUUUACAGCCUUCAAUCAUGGUGUUCUUGUGAGUCAUCCCACCAUGUUUCCGUGAUAGCAAUAAGAUCAUAGUUUUCCAAUUGCAUCAUGGUUUCCAAUUCCUCCUGCUUACUUCCCAUGCUGUGUGCAUUGGUACAGAGGCACUUCAGCUGAAAAUGCCAAAAGUCAUAUCAUUGUCUGUCUUGGACCCUUUAUAGAUACAUAUAUAAAACCAGAUAAAUAUGAAUAUUUGGAGCUAAAUGCGUGUGCUGCAAGAGCAUGUUAUUGAUGAGAAAAAAGUCUGAAGGCACAGUGACUCCUAGCUCAUGGCCAGCAGACCGUUGCUGUUGUUUUGGGGAAGAAAAUGGGAAAAGCAGAGCCAGCCAAGGAGCAGACAGCCUACACAGAGAUGGAUUUCGCUCCUGGCCCUUUCUCAGGCAAGGCGAGAGCUUUUCCUGAGUGCAACCCACAAGACUGGAUCCACAGCUCUUCGCCUUGCAGCACUUCAAGACUUCCAGGUUGGAGACAAUACGUCUGGAAAUCUGGGGUGAGCUGCACCUCCUGUGUGUUUUACUUGGACAGUAGGGUGUAAGUACCACGCUGCUGUGCUCUUAUUUAGCUCUGUUAUUACAGCGCUGUUUGUGAAGCAGGAAGAGUAAUCCUCAUGUAAAAAUAAUAGUAUUGCAGAGCUAGACAGCAGAUGGUGUUAUUAAAUACCUGGGCAAAGUCUAAGGUCAUAACGCUCUAACAAUUAAAAAGAUCUAUUGUCUAUCACUUAAUAGGUAACCUCCUAGCGCAGGAUGUUUGCAAAGCUGAGCAGAGAGGCGAGUAGUGUCUUGUCCAAGCCCAGAUAGCUCUUCCAGUUAAGCAAAUACUUGGCAACUAUUUUCUUGUCUAAAUUUGGUGCUACCACCACAUCAGGUAGAUACAAUACAAUCCCUUAUCAUUUCCUAAAUGAUCCCUUCUCUAAUCAACUCCAUUAGGUUUAUAAAUAGACUGCAGCUGCUUGAGGACUGGUGAUAGUUGCCUGACAUCCAGGUUCACUUAUAAGACCAUGGAGAGGCAACUUAUUGGAUGAUGUAAAUGGACAUAAGCUUGCUGCCAGGCACAUCUCCCACCAGCUGCAGGAGAUACUGGUGUGUGAGGUGUGCCUGCCAGCAGCCGUGGCUUUCCACAAGCACCUGCAGCUAUGGGCCUCUCUCCCUGGUGAAACCUUCUUGUCUGAGUUGGUGAAGUUGAAGCCGAGCCUCAGUAAUAUGUGGCAAGUCUCUUCCUGCUGCAUAACAUUUUCAAUCAGAACUCUGAGGAUUAAUUUUAUAUUGCAGAGAUUGCACUUUCUGCAUUUUUUCCUUGGUGUUUGCCUGGCAUCUUGUGACCCGUACCUCUCAGUUGAACCUCUCAGCUGAAUGCUGGCAUCCAGGGAUGCAGCUUGCCUUUUCUUCUGCUAUGAGCUUGUUUUACACACAAAGCAAGACUUUCUGCAUCGUUUUCAGAGAUGUGAACCCAAAAUCAUCUCUUCUGGGACUACAAGCAAAAUAAGGAGGCUAACAGUCACUCCUUGGGGUAGGUUUUGGAUUUAGUUUAAUGACUAUAAUAGUGGCAAAUGCCUUGGCAGCAGAAAUAGACUGAUAUGGAGAACAAUAGGGAACCUGUGACUUGGUACAUUUGUCUCACAGAGGGCAGACAGGAGACAGGGAGUUAAGCAGAGUCCUGUGGCUGCUAAUAGCUUCACACAGUACUUUUCCUCCGUGGUAAUCACUCUCCUGCUAGGAUCCACGAACUUGAGAACAAAGUACAUUUUAUUAUUUACAAGGGUUAGAUGACAAAUACAAACAGAUGGUGCAAAGAUGACUCCUAAUGCAUAGUGAUCAAGGAGUUUAAUAUUCAUGGGUAAAGGCCUGGAAGAUUAAGUAAACAGAUUCAGAUAUGCAGGGGAAAGUAUCUCAUAACAAUGCAUAAAGUCAGCGUGGCCUUUUGUGCCCCGUUACCAUUUGGAUCAACACAAUUAACAUAAAGGGAAAGACUGGCUGAACUUUCCAGUUUCCCUAAAGUGCUCAAAUCAGGGAUUUCUGAGAGGAAACCCUAGCAAGGAGUUUUGGCAAGAUGGAGAAAAACCCUUCUCUUUUGUUAUUGAACUUUCUGUUCCUGCUCCAAUGCCCCUUCUGCAAAACAGGUUGCAACAGCUGAGCGUGCUGCAGCCUGCUGCUGUGGCUGCCCUUACGUAAAGCAUUCUCACCUGGGUGACACAGGGCUUUUUGCUGCGACCGGUCAGAUGAGUGAGCAAGGGUAACUCCCAUGAGCAAGGGUUGUGGCAUUAGGAGCCUAACCAUGCUGCUCUGCUGUUAAUGACACUUCUAAUGGCAAAAGCUGGGAUCUCGUUGGUUUUGCUUUCACAUGUAGUCAUCUUGCAGAGAGGAUUUCAACACUGAUGAAUAUUGCCAGUCAGGUCCUUGGUAUGAAUCAUCCUGUCCUUCCAGAUGACUUUUUCUUUCUGCUGUUUACAUCAGCCGCAGAGAAUUUUGAUGCUUUCUUGUGUAUGUGUGCAAAGGAAUGUUUCAUUUGAGAAGAUAUUUCCAAACUCUCUGAAGUCAUCCCUCUGUAUCAUUCCUUUUGUUGUUGCUGUUCUCGCUUUGAGCGUGGGCAGUUAGCGAGUUGUUUCUUAGGAGUUACUGACUGAGCACUGAACAAAGGGCAAAAAAGAAAGGCAGGGAGAAGGGUUCUUGAAAGAAUCCUGCUGGACUGUGCCAAGAAGUUUGCUCUGCAGCAUAGAUCAGCCUGCUAUUUUCUUUGUCUACCUCAGGUUGUCGGAUGAACAAGGGAUUUGGGGAUUGGUGUGCUCAGUCCUGGAAAGAUGUACAUUUGAGCAGGCCAGCAGCCCCUGCCUUCUUUUAUACAAGGCCCUCAUCACUGCAGUAGUGUCAGGACACUGUGGCCUAUGGACAAAUGGGAGAAGCUAGGGAGGGUUGAGUUAGAGCUGGGGAUGGCUUAAAACCCAAGCCACAACAUUCAAACGGUGGUGGAGAGCUGCCCAGAAGCCACAGUGCAGUGUCGGGAGCUGAGCACCUCCACCUUUGGUAUCUGCCCAGAAAAUGGUCUGGCUCCAUGGAUGUAUUCAUGGGAAUAGCUGUAUAAGCUGGAAUACAGUCAAAGAUACAUGGCAGAGAAACCUGCCCUGUGAAUAAAGCCUUUGUUAAGAGGGAUUCCAUCUGUACAUGAUUUCAUCAGCUGCAUGAAAUGUGCAGGACAUUUAUAUGGUGAAUUAGGCACAGCUCCUGUUUUGAGAGAGAAAAUGCUUCUGUGUGCUUUUCCACAAAAGUCUGUUGCUACACAAGGAGGGGAAACCUGCAAUGCCAUUACUGUUCUCACAGGACAGGACAAGCAUUGGGACUGUGCUAACAUGAUUAUAAAAAUAAUGUGCAUUUAAAAAGCAUCAAAUGCACAAAAAGAUUGGCAUCGCCGUUUUCUUUGCCUUCUCUCCCUUAAAUGUGGAGAUGCUUAAAACAGUGUAAAUAACAUUCAAGACAGCUAAAGAGCAGUCCACAGUGCUGAAACACUUCUGCUGUCCAAAGCAGCUCCAUGCCAGCUAUUUCAUUUACCAUAUGUUUGGUGUGGUUUUGGCAGAGUCAACAUGAGGAUUUUUGGGCAGGCCUGCGAAACAGUUUUUCCCUUCCUCCACCCAAACGUGACCCAGUCCUGUCUGCCAUGAUCACGCCAUUGCACAGGGUCAGCCUGGCUGUUUUGGGCAGAAUUAGUCAGAGGGGCCUCUGGAAAGAUGCCCAAGGAAGGCUGAUUCAUUUUCCAUAUGAGUGGUUGCAUUAAGGAGCAGGAAGGAGAAGGAAGACGCAGUGUUUGGGAUGGAGAUGCUGGGUGAUGCUGAAGGACCACACGGGGAUUAUAGGGUUCCUUCUCCAGGUCCAAGGCAGGUGUGGUUGGGAUGCACUGGCUGUGGGGCAAGCUGCUAGCCCCAUGGCACUGUUUUCAGCCAUCCUGCAGGAACUGCCAGAGGCUGUGAAUCAGUGACUGGAAACGUGGAGCUUUGCUCCUGGGGUUGUCUGGUUUCAGAUAUGGAGAACCUGGGCUCCAAGCAGCCCAGUCCAGCAGAGAACUGCCUGAUCUGUGAGCAGACUCUCCAGGGUGGGGCUUAUUUUUCCUUAAAAAUGAGUGGGAUGCAGUGGCCAGAUGCACAGUCUAGCUGGUGCUAUGGGUUUGGGACUUGUCUAGCCAAACAAGGGAAGAAGAAAAGGGAAUUUAAACACACCUCUCUGCCCUUUUCUAAGCAUGUGCUGAAAGGUGUGAAGGUACAGCUGCGUCAUUCCUUCCUGCUGUGUGCUCCGAGCAUGCAUUCUCAGCAGUAGUUCACAGAAGUGAACCUUGUUCCCCAAGCAGAGGAGCUUUGCCACAGGGUGCUGGGGUAUCUGAUUAGUAGACUUGUUCACCUCAGGGAGCAGCUUUGCCAGGUGAGCCCUCCAAGCAAAGAGCUAUAACCCCUGGUUAGCACUGAGCCUGCGAUCCCUCCCUCGCUUUCUGCUGGAUUAAUUGCUAGAAAGGUUGUGCAGCUGCAUGGCAGCCCAGCACCCCAUCUGGUUGGCCAUACCUCUGCAUUUCUGUUCUCUGAAACAGUGUUUCUGACCUGAUUCUAGGGGCACGAGCCCCUCUUCCCAGAGUUGCCUUUAAUCCAGGCUGGCUGCAUGCUGCCUGCUGUCAGCGGCCCUUUUGUGCCUCCACGAGUGUUUGCUGGUGCAGGGCUGAGUGACUCAGCCUGCGCCCCUGCCCUGAGCACUGGAGAGCUGGGAGGGGCUGCAGAGUGCCUGGCUGCAGAUCUCAUCCUUCCCUUUUCUCAUUUCAGCAAAACCGUUGCAGAUUUCACGGAGCUUUCCAUCACAGGCAAACAAAGAGGAAAUUGAUUCAGAGCGAGAGCAUUAACAUCACCAAAUAGUAAAGGCAUUGCCUAAUGCUAUCAAGCAAGCUUCCUCUACUGCAGAAGCAGAGAGCAAUGCAAAUGCCAAGAGGAAUGGUUCCCACCAGCCUCGGAGCGCUGACACACUCACUCAGCAAGCACCUGCCCUGGCCUCAGGCACAUCAGACUGGCCUUUGAUCACCAGAGAUCAAGAGUAUUUCCACCCAUACAAGGCACUUUCAUCAUUAGCAAGCCUCUGCUGUCCGUGGCUGUGUCUGCACUGUGAACUGUCUUUCAGAGAUGUGUAAGGAAACCUGAGGCUUCUUGAAAGCAUUCUUGCCCUUUCCUAUCCCUGUGAAGUUGGUUAUCAGUUCUACAAAUUCUUACAUACAGAAAAUGCACUUGCCUGCAGCAGAGGAGGUUCCUUGAUCCUCUCCAACUGAAAACACCCCUUGGGAUGGUAGCAGCUGGUGUGGGCACAGGAGAUCAGUGCUUUUCUGGCUAGAGCCGCCUUUGGUGAUGCCAUCUCCCCAUGCAGAGGACAGAACGGAUGCUGCUGUGCUGCUGCCUGCAUCGGUUGGACUUUGGUUGGCAGGGCAUUGUAAAAUGACUCAAUGGGGAUCAGAAAGUGGUAGGAUCAAACAAAAAUCGCUUUGAAGCUGCUGUCAGUUGGCAAAAGAAUAAUUUAAAAUUAAACCAGUUCUGAAACUAUCUACCACAAGCGGUUACAAGCCUCGGUGUUGUAAAACUGGGCUGUUUCCUCUUUUCCUCACAACGAUGAUGUCCUUGAUUCCUCCUUAGGCUUCUUUGGCAAUUCUUGCACAGUAAUAAAAAGGCAUGACACAGCAUAUGUUUUGCGGCUCACCUUGCCAAACAAAAUUACAACGUUAGUAUAGCUUCUUCGCCUUUGCAUAAUUAACUCUACAAAGGAGAUAGAGAGAGGGUAAGCAUCUGUGCCAAGACAAAAGCAAAAACAAGAAGUACGGAAGUCUGUUUUAAAGUCAUCUCUGUUCAAAGCAAUUCUUUUAAAAAUGACUUAUCUUGAAACUGUUGCAGACAAUUAGGGAAAGUCAUACAGUUUCUAAAUGUCUGUUAUGUUUUACGUCUGCAGCUACAUUGCUAAGAUUCAAAAAAAAAGAAGUCAUUGCCUCUUUGAGAGCUCAUGAAAGUUGUACAGGAGCACAUCUUCUGUGCAACAUGUGCUGGGGCCGAGAGGAAACAGUCUGCCCAGGAGUCACUGCCCACUCUUCAGGCUCAGCUGGCAUCAUUCUCAUGUUUAAUAGUGUUCAGGACAGUCUCUCUGUUGAACUGAACUACACAGCUGCCACAAGGGGAACUUGGUGCAGGUGGAGAGGUAAGUGGGGUGAGAAGUGGGCCAGGUUCUGCCAUCUAUCCCACUGCCUUACUGUCAUCCUUGUGUCUUGAAAGCACAGCACUUGGGCAUUCCAAGCAAAGGAAGGGAUCUCCGGAUACACAGGAUGAUGAAAGGGAAAAAGGGAAACCCUUCACUCUAUGGAUCCACCAACCCUGUUUCAGAAAAAAGGCACAAAGCUACCACAAGAAGCCCACUGUGCUUUUACCUAAACUAGUGUUAAUAGUUGAAUUAGGAUUCAAGCAGCCUGAAUAGUUCUAAUAUAGACCGUUAAAGAGCAAAUCCUUUUUUGCACUAAUGCCAAAGGCAAGACUCCCAGCAAAAAGUCUGGCCCCAAGUUUCUGGCAAGUCCCCAGGCAAUCCAACUAAGAAAAGAAGAAAAACAAAACAAAAACAAAAACAAACAAACAAAAACAAAACAAACAAAC